RNAcentral lists this ribosomal RNA (492 nucleotides) under uncultured bacterium. Its description in RNAcentral is "partial 16S ribosomal RNA". It matches the Rfam family "Bacterial small subunit ribosomal RNA", at positions 29 to 507 of the family's 1533-position model. The record is from RNAcentral.
AGUGAACGCUGGCGGUAGGCCUAACACAUGCAAGUCGAACGGCAGCACAGUAAGAGCUUGCUCUUACGGGUGGCGAGUGGCGGACGGGUGAGGAAUACAUCGGAAUCUACUUUUUCGUGGGGGAUAACGUAGGGAAACUUACGCUAAUACCGCAUACGACCUACGGGUGAAAGCAGGGGAUCUUCGGACCUUGCGCGAUUGAAUGAGCCGAUGUCGGAUUAGCUAGUUGGCGGGGUAAAGGCCCACCAAGGCGACGAUCCGUAGCUGGUCUGAGAGGAUGAUCAGCCACACUGGAUCUGCGACACGUUCCAGACUCCUACGGGAGGCAGCAGUGGGGAAUAUUGGACAAUGGGCGCAAGCCUGAUCCAGCCAUACCGCGUGGGUGAAGAAGGCCUUCGGGUUGUAAAUCCCUUUUGUUGGGAAAGAAAAGCAGCAGGUUAAUACCCCGCUGUUCUGACGGUACCCAAAGAAUAAGCACCGGCUAACUUCGUG